ACAUCCAGAGAACUUAGCAGAGAUGCUUUGGUGCCUUCGGGAACUCUGAGACAGGUGCUGCAUGGCUGUCGUCAGCUCGUGUUGUGAAAUGUUGGGUUAAGUCCCGCAACGAGCGCAACCCUUUAUCCUUUGUUGCCAGCGGUUCGGCCGGGAACUCAAAGGAGACUGCCGGUGAUAAACCGGAGGAAGGUGGGGAUGACGUCAAGUCAUCAUGGCCCUUACGGCCAGGGCUACACACGUGCUACAAUGGCGCAUACAAAGAGAAGCGACCUCGCGAGAGCAAGCGGACCUCAUAAGGUGCGUCGUAGUCCGGAUUGGAGUCUGCAACUCGACUCCAUGAAGUCGGAAUCGCUAGUAAUCGUAGAUCAGAAUGCUACGGUGAAUACGUUCCCGGGCCUUGUACACACCGCCCGUCACACCAUGGGAGUGGGUUGCAAAAGAAGUAGGUAGCUUAACCUUCGGGAGGGCGCUUACCACUUUGUGAUUCAUGACUGGGGUGAAGUCGUAACAAGGUAGGCGUAGCGAG
This 526-nucleotide ribosomal RNA is filed under the name uncultured bacterium. Its description in RNAcentral is "bacterial SSU rRNA". It matches the Rfam family "Bacterial small subunit ribosomal RNA", at positions 984 to 1509 of the family's 1533-position model. The record is from RNAcentral.